RNAcentral lists this long non-coding RNA (1082 nucleotides) under Anser brachyrhynchus (Pink-footed goose). Its description in RNAcentral is "lncRNA (ENSABRG00000017608.1)". Lineage: Eukaryota; Metazoa; Chordata; Aves; Anseriformes; Anatidae. The record is from RNAcentral.
UAGGCAAGCCCUUGCAAACAAAGGAUGCUUUCUCUAAACCACAAAUCUAUUUGCACCAUGAAGACAGAGGCACUGUACUUACCCUUGCACAGCUAAGGAGCAGUCAGCUUGGAAAAGCUGCUUGUGGCCCAGGGGAACGUAACCUACCUGCUCUAGGGAAGGAAGGUAGCAGCGGCCAGCUGUCCACAGAAGGGAGCAAGGCUCUCCUUCAAGGAGCAGGAGGGCUCACAGCUGCUCUCCUGAGAGCAAGGAUCUGCAAGGCAGCCUGGCUUCAACCAGCUGGAGAAAAUCAACUGCUUUCCUCCAAGAGGCUAUAAAAGGGUGAGGCUGAGGAGGUGCAUGUGCUAUAGGAGCAGGCAGGACGGCCUGGGGGAAGAGGUGGGGUGUUUGCAUGGUGAUGUGGUGAGCCUCAGCGUAAGCAGUAUGCAGAGGAUGUGGGGCUAUAGCUGCCUGGCAGGCACCAAAGGAGGUUGAGGCGGGCAGCACAGCUCCACAAACAGCCUGACCCAUGGAUGCCAGCCAGAGGAACUGCCCCCAGCUCUCCUGCAGCCCUCCGGCUGUCCUCGGGGGCCACCCCAGCUGCAGCUGCUCCGUUUGCUGGUGCCGCCUCUUCAUGGUGCGUCUCCUUUAUUGGAAGAAAAUCACACGUGCUUGGAAAUCUGGUCCUUGAAAGAGAGGUGUGGGCAUUCCUGGGCACAGAGGUGGUGCCCCCUCGUAUGGGGUUAAUUUGUCCUCCUGGGAUGGCGGCACGAAGUGAGAGGCUGAUGAGGAGCUGCUGCAUCCAUGGCCCUUGGCCUCCACCCUGUGCUGCGCCCAUGGUGUCUGAGCUCCUCCUGCUCCGCUCAGCCCAGGGCCCUUGCUCCUUUUACCCCCGAGAAGAGUUUUUCAUACCACCUUCUUCCCAUUCCCCUGGCGAUGGGGUCUGAAGGCUUUGCUCACAAGCUUUUCCUUGCAGCAUGUGAGCAUAAGCACGUUUUGAUUUGGGGUUCUUGCCCCAUUCCUUAUGUACGGUGGUAUCCAAGGGUGGGAAUAGCUGGGGUGAGCUGCAUGAGUGCAAUAAAGUGUUGUCUUUCCAGUUCUCA